This 393-nucleotide RNase P RNA is filed under the name Pseudogemmobacter blasticus. RNAcentral describes it as "Rhodobacter blasticus RNase P RNA component class A". It matches the Rfam family "Bacterial RNase P class A". Rfam says of the family: Ribonuclease P (RNase P) is a ubiquitous endoribonuclease, found in archaea, bacteria and eukarya as well as chloroplasts and mitochondria. Its best characterised activity is the generation of mature 5'-ends of tRNAs by cleaving the 5'-leader elements of precursor-tRNAs. Lineage: Bacteria; Pseudomonadati; Pseudomonadota; Alphaproteobacteria; Rhodobacterales; Paracoccaceae. The record is from RNAcentral.
GCGGAUGGCUGGAUGACCGCGGGCGGCAACGUUCGAGGAAAGUCCGGACUCCAUGAAGCAAGGGCGCCGGGUAACCCCCGGCGGGGGCAACCCCAGGGAAAGCGCCACAGAGAACGAGACCGCCCCAGGUUCGCCCGGGGCAAGGGUGAAACGGUGGGGUAAGAGCCCACCGCGGGACGGGCAACCGGACCGGCAUGGCAAGCCCCGCCCGGAGCAAUGCCGAAUAGGGGCCUCGCGCGGGGCAGGUCGGGAAACCGAUACCGCCGCAGGGACGCUUCAGCCCGAGAGGCCCGGGUUGGCAGCUUGACCGCCGCGGCAACGCGAGCGGCAGAGGAAUGGUCAUCCAGGGCGGCAACGCCUGGACAGAAUCCGGCUUACAGGCCAUCCGCGCAA